RNAcentral lists this ribosomal RNA (833 nucleotides) under Kocuria palustris. RNAcentral's name for it is "bacterial SSU rRNA". It matches the Rfam family "Bacterial small subunit ribosomal RNA", at positions 123 to 960 of the family's 1533-position model. Lineage: Bacteria; Bacillati; Actinomycetota; Actinomycetes; Micrococcales; Micrococcaceae. The record is from RNAcentral.
AACCUGCCCUUGACUCUGGGAUAAGCCCGGGAAACUGGGUCUAAUACUGGAUGCUACAUGUCACCGCAUGGUGGUGUGUGGAAAGGGUUUACUGGUCUUGGAUGGGCUCACGGCCUAUCAGCUUGUUGGUGAGGUAAUGGCUCACCAAGGCGACGACGGGUAGCCGGCCUGAGAGGGUGACCGGCCACACUGGGACUGAGACACGGCCCAGACUCCUACGGGAGGCAGCAGUGGGGAAUAUUGCACAAUGGGCGAAAGCCUGAUGCAGCGACGCCGCGUGAGGGAUGACGGCCUUCGGGUUGUAAACCUCUUUCAGCAGGGAAGAAGCCACAAGUGACGGUACCUGCAGAAGAAGCGCCGGCUAACUACGUGCCAGCAGCCGCGGUAAUACGUAGGGCGCAAGCGUUGUCCGGAAUUAUUGGGCGUAAAGAGCUCGUAGGCGGUUUGUCGCGUCUGCUGUGAAAGCCCGGGGCUUAACCCCGGGUGUGCAGUGGGUACGGGCAGACUAGAGUGCAGUAGGGGAGACUGGAAUUCCUGGUGUAGCGGUGGAAUGCGCAGAUAUCAGGAGGAACACCGAUGGCGAAGGCAGGUCUCUGGGCUGUUACUGACGCUGAGGAGCGAAAGCAUGGGGAGCGAACAGGAUUAGAUACCCUGGUAGUCCAUGCCGUAAACGUUGGGCACUAGGUGUGGGGGACAUUCCACGUUUUCCGCGCCGUAGCUAACGCAUUAAGUGCCCCGCCUGGGGGAGUANGGCCGCAAGGCUAAAACUCAAAAGGAAUUGACGGGGGGCCCGCACAAGCGGGCGGAGCAUGCCGGAUUAAUUUCGAUGCAAC